AGAGAGAGGAUGAGAGGGGAGGAUGAAAGGGACGAGUAACAUAAGUGAAAAUAAUUUGAAAUAGAUUUCAGUUUUUAGUUUUUAUUUUCACUUUUGUUACUCCUCUCUUCCAUCCUCUCCUCUCAUCUUCCCUCUCA
Molecule: microRNA precursor, 137 nt
Filed under: Prunus dulcis (almond)
Lineage: Eukaryota; Viridiplantae; Streptophyta; Magnoliopsida; Rosales; Rosaceae
Description: sRNA ncRNA
Source: RNAcentral